Molecule: ribosomal RNA, 500 nt
Filed under: uncultured Myrionecta
Lineage: Eukaryota; Ciliophora; Litostomatea; Cyclotrichida; Mesodiniidae
Description: SSU rRNA
Rfam family: Eukaryotic small subunit ribosomal RNA
Source: RNAcentral
GAUGUUCAGAUAGCCAUGCACGUCUAAGUACAAACUAAAUGAUGGUGAAACUGCAAAUGGCUCAUUACAACGGUUAUGAUGUACCCGGGAGUUCCGAUGGAUAUUUCCAGUAACACUAGAACUAAUACAUGUCCCUGCGUUUAUUAGUUUCGCACAGUCCGUCGCUGAGUCAUGGUAAACAGUUGAUCGACUCGACGUCCCGGAACAGUUUCCGCCCCAUCAGCUUCGAUGGUUGGGUAUUGGCCUACCAUUGCAACAACGGGUAACGAGGAAUUAGGGUUUGAUUUCGGAGAGGGAGCCUGAGAAACGGCUACCACAUCUACGGAUGGCAGCAGGCGCGCAAAUUACCCAAUGCAGACACUGUGAGGUAGUGACGAGAAAUAAUAAAGCGGGACUUCUGUUUCGCUAUUAUAAUGAGGAAUAACCAAAGGUCAUUCCGAUCAGCAACUGAUGGGAAAGUCUGGUGCCAGCAGCCGCGGUAAUACCAGCGUCAGUAGCAU